RNAcentral lists this ribosomal RNA (253 nucleotides) under uncultured bacterium. RNAcentral describes it as "partial 16S ribosomal RNA". It matches the Rfam family "Bacterial small subunit ribosomal RNA", at positions 524 to 776 of the family's 1533-position model. The record is from RNAcentral.
UACGGAGGGUGCGAGCGUUAAUCGGAAUUACUGGGCGUAAAGCGUGCGCAGGCGGCUUUGGAAGUCAGAUGUGAAAUCCCCGGGCUUAACCUGGGAAUGGCAUUUGGGACUGCAAGGCUCGAGUGCGGCAGAGGAGACUGGAAUUCCUGGUGUAGCAGUGAAAUGCGUAGAUAUCAGGAGGAACACCGAUGGCGAAGGCAGGUCUCUGGGCUGACACUGACGCUCAUGCACGAAAGCGUGGGGAGCAAACAGG